AAUCAACGCGGGCGGCGUGCCUAACACAUGCAAGUCGAACGAGAAAGGGUAGCAAUACUGAGUACAGUGGCGCACGGGUGAGUAACACGUGACUAACCUACCCUAGAGUGGGGGAUAACUGAGGGAAACCUUAGCUAAUACCGCAUAAUACCUACGGGUCAAAGGAGCAAUUCGCUUUGGGAGGGGGUCGCGGCCGAUUAGUUAGUUGGCGGGGUAAUGGCCCACCAAGACAGUGAUCGGUAUCCGGCCUGAGAGGGCGCACGGACACACUGGAACUGAAACACGGUCCAGACUCCUACGGGAGGCAGCAGUGGGGAAUUUUGCGCAAUGGGGGAAACCCUGACGCAGCAACGCCGCGUGGAGGAUGAAGUACUUCGGUACGUAAACUCCUUUCGAUCGGGACGAUAAUGACGGUACCGGAAGAAGAAGCCCCGGCUAACUUCGUGCCAGCAGCCGCGGUAAUACGAGGGGGGCAAGCGUUGUUCGGAAUUAUUGGGCGUAAAGGGUGCGUAGGCGGUUUGGUAAGUCUCUUGUGAAAUCUAUGGGCUCAACUCAUAGACUGCAAGGGAAACUGCCG
This 577-nucleotide ribosomal RNA is filed under the name uncultured bacterium. RNAcentral describes it as "bacterial SSU rRNA". It matches the Rfam family "Bacterial small subunit ribosomal RNA", at positions 28 to 638 of the family's 1533-position model. The record is from RNAcentral.